RNAcentral lists this ribosomal RNA (467 nucleotides) under uncultured bacterium. RNAcentral describes it as "partial 16S ribosomal RNA". It matches the Rfam family "Bacterial small subunit ribosomal RNA", at positions 28 to 507 of the family's 1533-position model. The record is from RNAcentral.
GACGAACGCUGGCGGCGCGCUUAACACAUGCAAGUCGAACGGAAAGGCUCCAGCUUGCUGGAGUACUCGAGUGGCGAACGGGUGAGUAACACGUGGGUAAUCUGCCCUGCACUCUGGGAUAAGCCUGGGAAACUGGGUCUAAUACUGGAUAUGACCUUUCUCCUUAUGGGGUUUGGUGGAAAGUUUUUCGGUGUAGGAUGAGCCCGCGGCCUAUCAGCUUGUUGGUGGGGUGAUGGCCUACCAAGGCGACGACGGGUAGCCGGCCUGAGAGGGUGAUCGGCCACAUUGGGACUGAGAUACGGCCCAGACUCCUACGGGAGGCAGCAGUGGGGAAUAUUGCACAAUGGGCGGAAGCCUGAUGCAGCGACGCCGCGUGAGGGAUGACGGCCUUCGGGUUGUAAACCUCUUUCAGCAGGGACGAAGCGUAAGUGACGGUACCUGCAGAAGAAGCACCGGCUAACUACGUG